UUAGUACUCAUCUUUCAAAAGUAUUAUAACAGAAAGACAACAUCUCAAAGGUUGAAAAACUGGUACAAAUUCCCACUGCUCGGCAAACAUGUGCAUAAUGUAUUCACAAAAGAACAUCAUCUUACUGAAUUGGGAACUUCAAAUAAAUGCCUUACCGCUCUGCGAACUUUUCCAUAAUGCGAUCUAUCUUCUGAGCUUCCCCUGGAAGCCGAAACCCUUUAAGAAACUCACGAAUUGCUAAAUCAAAUUUCAUUCCAGAAAAAUUAAUUGAGUCAACAUAAGCAUGCAUGACAGCAACAGGAAACUCCAAAUCAAAUUUCAUUCCAGAAAAAUUCAUUGAGUCAACAUAAGCAUGCAUGACAGCAACAGGAAACUCCUCAUGCUGGCCCAAGUAGUCACCAAUAAUAGCCU
This 411-nucleotide long non-coding RNA is filed under the name Nicotiana benthamiana. Its description in RNAcentral is "long non-coding RNA (NBEN_LNC013381)". The record is from RNAcentral. Lineage: Eukaryota; Viridiplantae; Streptophyta; Magnoliopsida; Solanales; Solanaceae.